RNAcentral lists this ribosomal RNA (511 nucleotides) under uncultured bacterium. Its description in RNAcentral is "bacterial SSU rRNA". It matches the Rfam family "Bacterial small subunit ribosomal RNA", at positions 8 to 524 of the family's 1533-position model. The record is from RNAcentral.
AGAGUUUGAUCCUGGCUCAGGACGAACGCUGGCGGCGUGCCUAACACAUGCAAGUCGCACGAACGGAGGAGAGCUUGCUCUCCAAUGUUAGUGGCGAACGGGUGCGGAACACGUGAGCAACCUACCCUAUGGCGGGGGAUAGCCGGUCUAACGGCCGGGUAAUACCGCGUAACGCUCCGAGGCUGCAUGGUCUUGGAGUGAAAGCGGCCGCAAGGUCGCACCAGAGGAGGGGCUCGCGUCCUAUCAGCUUGUUGGUGAGGUAACGGCUCACCAAGGCGACGACGGGUAGCUGGUCUGAGAGGAUGACCAGCCACAUUGGGACUGAGAUACGGCCCAGACUCCUACGGGAGGCAGCAGUGGGGAAUAUUGCGCAAUGGCCGAAAGCCUGACGCAGCAACGCCGCGUGGGCGAAGAAGGCCUUCGGGUUGUAAAGCCCUUUUCUGGGGGAUGAGACAAGGACAGUACCCCAGGAAUAAGUGUCGGCUAACUACGUGCCAGCAGCCGCGGUAAU